Molecule: ribosomal RNA, 460 nt
Filed under: uncultured bacterium
Lineage: Bacteria
Description: partial 16S ribosomal RNA
Rfam family: Bacterial small subunit ribosomal RNA
Source: RNAcentral
CCUACGGGUGGCUGCAGUGAGGAAUAUUGGUCAAUGGGCGGAAGCCUGAACCAGCCAAGUAGCGUGCAGGAUGACGGCCCUACGGGUUGUAAACUGCUUUUAUACGGGAAUAACGCGCCUUACGUGUAGGGCUUUGCAUGUACCGUAUGAAUAAGGACCGGCUAAUUCCGUGCCAGCAGCCGCGGCAAUACGGAAGGUCCGGGCGGUAUCCGGAUUUAUUGGGUUUAAGGGGAGCGUAGGCCGCAUGUCAAGCGUGCUGUGAAAUGGCCGGGCUCAACCCGUGCCUUGCAGCGCGAACUGGCGUGCUUGAGUCCGCGGAAGGCAGGCGGAAUUCGAGGUGUAGCGGUGAAAUGCUUAGAUAUGAGGAAGAACACCGAUUGCGAAGGCAGCUUGCUGCAGCGAAACUGACGCUGAUGCUCGAAAGCGCGGGUAUCGAACAGGAUUAGAUACCCGUGUAGUC